CAUAUACUCACUCCGUCCCAUAUUAACUGCUGAAAUAUUACAUGUAUCUAGACGCUUGUUAAGUAUAGAUACAUUCAUAUUUAGUCAAAUUUGAGUCACUUAAUAUGGGACGGAGGGAGUAUGAU
Molecule: non-coding RNA, 125 nt
Organism: Brachypodium distachyon (stiff brome)
Lineage: Eukaryota; Viridiplantae; Streptophyta; Magnoliopsida; Poales; Poaceae
Source: Rfam